Molecule: ribosomal RNA, 497 nt
Filed under: uncultured bacterium
Lineage: Bacteria
Description: partial 16S ribosomal RNA
Rfam family: Bacterial small subunit ribosomal RNA
Source: RNAcentral
GAUGAACGCUGGCGGCGUGCCUAAUACAUGCAAGUCGAGCGAACAGACGAGGAGCUUGCUCCUUUGACGUUAGCGGCGGACGGGUGAGUAACACGUAGGUAACCUACCUAUAAGACUGGGAUAACUUCGGGAAACCGGAGCUAAUACCGGAUGAUAUUUCGAACCGCAUGGUUCGAUAGUGAAAGAUGGCUUUGCUGUCACUUAUAGAUGGACCCGCGCUGCAUUAGCUAGUUGGUAAGGUAACGGCUUACCAAGGCAACGAUACAUAGCCGACCUGAGAGGGUGAUCGGCCACACUGGAACUGAGACACGGUCCAGACUCCUACGGGAGGCAGCAGUAGGGAAUCUUCCGCAAUGGGCGAAAGCCUGACGGAGCAACGCCGCGUGAGUGAUGAAGGUCUUCGGAUCGUAAAACUCUGUUAUUAGGGAAGAACAAACGUGUAAGUAACUGUGCACGUCUUGACGGUACCUAAUCAGAAAGCCACGGCUAACUACGUG